RNAcentral lists this ribosomal RNA (684 nucleotides) under Capromys pilorides (Desmarest's hutia). Its description in RNAcentral is "partial 12S ribosomal RNA". It matches the Rfam family "Bacterial small subunit ribosomal RNA", at positions 340 to 1391 of the family's 1533-position model. The record is from RNAcentral. Lineage: Eukaryota; Metazoa; Chordata; Mammalia; Rodentia; Capromyidae.
CACGGGAUACAGCAGUAAUUAAAAUUAAGCAAUAAACGAAAGUUUGACUAAGUUAUGCAACAUUAUAUAGGGUUGGUAAAUUUCGUGCCAGCCACCGCGGUCAUACGAUUAACCCUAAUUAAUAAAGCCCGGCGUAAAGAGUGUUAAAAUUACAAAAACAAUAAGAUUAAAUUUUACCUAAGUCGUAAAAAACAACAGAUAAAAAUAAAAUCAUAAACGAAAGUAAUCUUAAUAGAUCUGAAUACACUAAAGCUAAGACCCAAACUGGGAUUAGAUACCCCACUAUGCUUAGCCAUAAACAAAGAUAUUUAAUAACAAAAAUUUUCGCCAGAGUACUACUAGCAACAGCUUAAAACUCAAAGGACUUGGCGGUGCUUUAAACCCACCUAGAGGAGCCUGUUCUAUAAUCGAUAAACCCCGAUAUACCUUACCACUUCUUGCUAAUCCAGUCUAUAUACCGCCAUCUCCAGCAAACCCCAACAGGGAUUAAAAGUAAGCACAACUAUACUCGUAAAAACGUUAGGUCAAGGUGUAACUAAUGAAGUGGAAAGCAAUGGGCUACAUUUUCUUCUUCCAAGAAAACAACAACAGUAAUCUUUAUGAAAUUAAAGAUUUAAGGAGGAUUUAGUAGUAAAUUAAGAAUAGAGAGCUUAAUUGAAUUAGGCAAUAAAGCACGCACACACC